This 541-nucleotide long non-coding RNA is filed under the name Polistes fuscatus (common paper wasp). Its description in RNAcentral is "uncharacterized LOC122516627". Lineage: Eukaryota; Metazoa; Arthropoda; Insecta; Hymenoptera; Vespidae. The record is from RNAcentral.
UAUACUAUUAUUACCUUUUCAAGAGAAAGAUCACCAGCUUCUAUUGCACGAAAAGGAUACAAAGCCACCACAACCUUUGCUCUUAAGAUGGAGUACCAGGAGUUCCACCCGGCAUUAUUGGAGUCGAAGGAGUACCUGUAACAAGAAUAAUAAUUUAUAAUUAAUAUACGUGUGCUUAGAAAGAAAAAUAAUCUUUAUUGGUGGAAGGAAAGUGUUAUUUUAAAAUAACAUAAUCAAAUGAAAUUAUCCAUAUUUAGAUGAUAAUCAUCAGUGAAGUAAAAACAUAUUCGAUACAUGACCACUGAUCAAAUAUGCAAAUACCAUAAUCAGAAUUAUUGAAGCCCUACAACAACAAAGUAUAGGAUACCUUGUCAGAAAACCUAUUCAAUAUAUUAGUUAUAAAUAACUUAAUAUCUUCAAAUUUUACAUAAUUUGUCUGUUUGAAAAAAGUUCAUUUGAUAAAAAUCUUGGUAGACUUUGAAUUAUUCUUGCUAACACAAAAUAAUCCAAAAAUGAUGAAAUAAUUACAUUUAUAGAAUUA